This 253-nucleotide ribosomal RNA is filed under the name uncultured bacterium. RNAcentral's name for it is "partial 16S ribosomal RNA". It matches the Rfam family "Bacterial small subunit ribosomal RNA", at positions 524 to 776 of the family's 1533-position model. The record is from RNAcentral.
UACGUAGGGGUCGAGCGUUGUCCGGAAUUACUGGGCGUAAAGCGUGCGCAGGCGGUGAGCUGUGUCCGAUGUGAAAGCCCCGGGCUUAACCUGGGAAUGGCAUUGGAAACUGGCUCGCUGGAGUGUGGCAGAGGGGGGUGGAAUUCCGCGUGUAGCAGUGAAAUGCGUAGAGAUGCGGAGGAACACCGAUGGCGAAGGCAGCCCCCUGGGCUAACACUGACGCUCAGGCACGAAAGCGUGGGGAGCAAACAGG